UAACAAACACUAAACCAAACUCUUGCCAACAAAUCGGGCNACUCUAUAAAAAUAUAGAAGCACUAAUGCUAGAACUAGUAACAAGAAUAAAUCUCUUCGCACAACUGUAAAUCAGCAAUAGAAAAACUACUGAAAAUUAACAACCCGAAAUACAACAC
RNAcentral lists this ribosomal RNA (158 nucleotides) under Petrosaurus mearnsi. RNAcentral's name for it is "partial 16S ribosomal RNA". The record is from RNAcentral. Lineage: Eukaryota; Metazoa; Chordata; Lepidosauria; Squamata; Phrynosomatidae.